AAGAAUGAAAGUAAUCUGCUGGUCAGAUGCAGAGUGUUGGGCAGUGAAGGUUAUAAAGAACAGAUUUCAAAGAGAAGACAUGAACAUGCAAAGGGUCUAAGGUGAGAACAUGCUUGGUGUGUUCAAUGAAUAUCAAGAAGGCCAGUGCGGCUGCAGCUGAAUGAGCAGAGUGGAAUAGUAGGAGAGGAGGUCAGGAUAGGAGCAGAGCACCUGGGUCCUUAAAAAACAUUGGAGGUCAGGCUGCCUGCACAUAUAGACCCUUUCCUGUGCUGCCUUAUUGCCAUUAAAUACAGCAU
Leopardus geoffroyi (Geoffroy's cat) is the source of this 296-nucleotide long non-coding RNA. RefSeq lists it as uncharacterized. NCBI's taxonomy places the organism in Eukaryota, Metazoa, Chordata, Mammalia, Carnivora, Felidae. The record is from RefSeq and is a predicted model, not a curated record. The transcript is spliced from 3 exons.